This 606-nucleotide ribosomal RNA is filed under the name Mariannaea punicea. RNAcentral describes it as "eukaryotic LSU rRNA". It matches the Rfam family "Eukaryotic large subunit ribosomal RNA", at positions 37 to 667 of the family's 3401-position model. Lineage: Eukaryota; Fungi; Ascomycota; Sordariomycetes; Hypocreales; Nectriaceae. The record is from RNAcentral.
UGCAUAUCAAUAAGCGGAGGAAAAGAAACCAACAGGGAUUGCCCUAGUAACGGCGAGUGAAGCGGCAACAGCUCAAAUUUGAAAUCUGGCCUUCGGGUCCGAGUUGUAAUUUGCAGAGGAUGCUUUUGGUGAGGUGCCUUCCGAGUUCCCUGGAACGGGACGCCAUAGAGGGUGAGAGCCCCGUCUGGUCGGACACCAAUCCUUUGUAAAGCUCCUUCGACGAGUCGAGUAGUUUGGGAAUGCUGCUCUAAAUGGGAGGUAUAUGUCUUCUAAAGCUAAAUACCGGCCAGAGACCGAUAGCGCACAAGUAGAGUGAUCGAAAGAUGAAAAGCACUUUGAAAAGAGAGUUAAACAGUACGUGAAAUUGUUGAAAGGGAAGCGCUCAUGACCAGACUUGGGCUUGGUUGAUCAACUUGGGUUCUCCCGGGUGCACUCUUCCUCGUCCAGGCCAGCAUCAGUUCGCUGCGGGGGAUAAAGGUUUCGGGAAUGUGGCUCCCUCGGGAGUGUUAUAGCCCGUUGCGUAAUACCCUGCGGUGGACUGAGGUCCGCGCAUCUGCAAGGAUGCUGGCGUAAUGGUCAUCAGCGACCCGUCUUGAAACACGGACC